CGCUCAUGGAUGGACGCUGUUUAAGUGUAUUCCCCGAUAUACCAUCUAACUGACAUAAUAUGACACUGUCCCCUAUCUGAACUAUUUGGCAGGGAUUCAAAACAGCUGUUCAUCGACCUCGAGAGUGCUGAAGAGGCUUACCGAACUGAAGGGGAUCAAUAAAUCAGAGACCUAGGCAGCAAAUCAUCAAGACAACAUGAUUAAACUGAUCCCUCAUGAGAAAUGAUCUCAGAGAAAGAGUGGCUGUCAAAAAGCCAUUUAUAAGAAAGAGAAACAGAGAGAAAAGACAGAGGGAUACCAAACUACACAAGAACUGCAUGGAGUGGCAACAGGUCU
Oreochromis niloticus (Nile tilapia) is the source of this 336-nucleotide long non-coding RNA. RefSeq lists it as uncharacterized. Lineage: Eukaryota; Metazoa; Chordata; Actinopteri; Cichliformes; Cichlidae. The record is from RefSeq and is a predicted model, not a curated record. The transcript is spliced from 3 exons.